GCUUAGAGAGGGGUCAAUGUCCUAUCAGCUAGUUGGUAGGGUAAUGGCCUACCAAGGCUAAGACGGGUAGCCGGCCUGAGAGGGUGGCCGGCCACACUGGGACUGAGACACUGCCCAGACUCCUACGGGAGGCUGCAGUCGAGAAUCUUUCGCAAUGCCCGAAAGGGUGACGAAGCGACGCCGCGUGUGGGAAGAAGGCCUUCGGGUUGUAAACCACUGUCGGGAGUUAAGAAAUGCAAGGGUGUUAAUAGCAUCCUUGCUUGACUAAGGCUCCGGAGGAAGCCACGGCUAACUCUGUGCCAGCAGCCGCGGUAAUACAGAGGCGGCAAGCGUUGUUCGGAAUUAUUGGGCGCAAAGAGCACGUAGGCGGCUUUGUAAGUCAGUUGUGAAAGCCUUCUGCUCAACGGAAGAACAGCAUCUGAUACUGCAAGGCUAGAGUGCGGAAGGG
This 448-nucleotide ribosomal RNA is filed under the name uncultured Planctomycetota bacterium. RNAcentral describes it as "bacterial SSU rRNA". It matches the Rfam family "Bacterial small subunit ribosomal RNA", at positions 217 to 656 of the family's 1533-position model. Lineage: Bacteria; Pseudomonadati; Planctomycetota. The record is from RNAcentral.